Non-coding RNA from Pelobates cultripes (western spadefoot toad), 510 nucleotides. The record is from the annotation of a GenBank genome assembly. Lineage: Eukaryota; Metazoa; Chordata; Amphibia; Anura; Pelobatidae.
GGACACUGUAGGCACCAUCACCACUUAUCAAAUUGGAUCUCUACUAUAUGAUUCAUUCACUGUUUAAUAUAGAUGUGUGGUCCCAGGUAGUCUACAGCCUGACCUCCAGUGAUAAAAGGGCAGAGGCCAAGCUUUGCUCCACUUCACACCAUGCCUGGAGUAGUGGGUAGUGAUUGGCAUGACGUGGAAAGCAUAGUUCUGACCCAACCAUAAUGUUACUGAAGGCUGUGCUGUAGGCUGCUGGGGAAUCUCUACUAAACGAUGAGUUAAACGACUUGGUAAUGAUACAGAAUUCGGCACAUACAGACUCUAGACACCAUAAUCCAUUCACGUGGUUAUAGUGCCUACAUCGUUCAUUUAAACAUAAACAAAACAUAUAUAUAUUUAUAAAAUUUUGAGAUGUAACAACAUGCUGCCGGAAACACAUAACACACUCAAAAUUAUUACUGCAGAGCCUGCAAGUGAUGCAGUUGUGAACCGUUUAUCAAGUGUCAGUGUGUCCAGGAUUAC